This 645-nucleotide ribosomal RNA is filed under the name uncultured organism. Its description in RNAcentral is "bacterial SSU rRNA". It matches the Rfam family "Bacterial small subunit ribosomal RNA", at positions 40 to 676 of the family's 1533-position model. The record is from RNAcentral.
CGGCGUGGAUUAGGCAUGCAAGUCGAGCGAACCCGCAAGGGUUAGCGGCAAAAGGGUGAGUAACACGUAAGUAAUUUUCCUUCAAGACGGGGAUAGCACCGUGAAAACGGUGGUAAUACCCGAUAAUAUAAGUGAUCCGCAUGGAUUUCUUAUUAAAGACGGGGACCGCAAGGCCUGUCGCUUAGAGAUGAGCUUGCGUACCAUCAGCUAGUUGGUAGGGUAACGGCCUACCAAGGCUUAGACGGUUAGCUGGUCUGAGAGGACGACCAGCCACAUUGGGACUGAGACACUGCCCAGACUCCUACGGGAGGCUGCAGUCGAGAAUAUUUAGCAAUGGACGAAAGUCUGACUAUGCGACGCCGCGUGCAGGAUGAAGGUCUUCGGAUUGUAAACUGCUUUUGUUAGGGGAGAAACCUGUAUCAUUAAUAGUGGUACAGCUGACGGUACCUGACGAAUAAGCCACGGCAAACUCCGUGCCAGCAGCCGCGGUAAUACGGAGGUGGCAAGCGUUACUCGGAAUUAUUGGGUGUAAAGGGCAGGUAGGUGGUCUUGCAAGUGAGAGGUGAAAUCCCACGGUUCAAUCGUGGAACUGCCUUUCAAACUGCUUGACUUGAGAAUGUUAGGGGAGAAUGGAAUUCCCGGUGU